This 269-nucleotide long non-coding RNA is filed under the name Capsicum annuum. RNAcentral describes it as "long non-coding RNA (CANN_LNC018867)". The record is from RNAcentral. Lineage: Eukaryota; Viridiplantae; Streptophyta; Magnoliopsida; Solanales; Solanaceae.
AAUGGGGUGUGUCAUAGUGGAAUAGCGAUGAAGGCAUUGGAGCAUCGUGGUGAGGUCUCAAUCAGUGUUCUAGUUAUGAAUUUAAAUUUUCCAGGGGAAGUCAAAUCUUUUCCCAUGGCCCUAAUCCAUAAAAACAUGGGAUUUAUUAUCAGUUAAGGCAUUAUAUGCCCUAUUUCCAAAAUUUCUCUUAAAAAUAAACCAUAGAUAUUACUCAAAUUCAUUAAUUUCAUCAAUUAUUACUUCACUAAUACUCAAGAAUUCAAUCUUCA